UACAUACGGCGGCGGGCCGCGGCGCUGGCCAGUGCCCAAGUGACGCCCGUCGCGUGCAGUGGCUGGUGCGGAGCGGUCGACGUGGAAUGCCCCCGCGCCGACCCGGUGCUGCCACAUCACUCGGCGAGCCUCAGUGAGACGCAGAGAGGGACACGGUCCGCCGCCGGACACAGCCGAGAUGCGCCUGCCGCUGCUGUUUCUGCUGGCCGUGGCCGCCUGCGUGGCGGUCAGCGAGGCCAAGCCACGCCGCCGACCCAAACCGCCCAUCAAAGGAGACGACUACAGCCGACCGGGCCGCCGCCGACACCGCAAGUCAUCAGUGUGCCACUUCGGAAAGCAGACCUACGAGCUGGAGGCCAUGUGGAACCCCGACCUGGGCUCGCCGUUCGGCGUCAUGUACUGCGUCCAGUGCGAGUGUGUACCGAUCCAGCGCAAACGACGCGUCGUUGGCCGGGUCAAGUGUCGCAACAUCAAGCGUGACUGUCCCAAGCCCAACUGCAAGAACCCGGUGAUGCCGGUCGGGGAGUGCUGCAAAACCUGCAUGGACGACGCGUCGAGGGCCCGAUCACGAAUCGACAUGGUGGAAGAAGACGACGAGCCUAACGGAAAGGAGUUCGCCGUUCUGAUGACGGGCCUGUCCUCCUACAACUCCACUGGUAGUCCGUCCAGCGUCACCAACGCGCUGGCCACAGGCCGCUUCCGUCUCGCGCGCCGCCAGCUCACCUACUCCUUCUACUACGAGCGGAUGCCACGCCGACCCGACCGCAUCGUCUUCUUCGACGAGGAGGUGCGCAUCGUCGAGGAGUUGACAACGUCGGCGACCGAGUACGAGACCGAGAGCCAGAAGGUGUGCGGCGUGUGGAAGAAGGUGCCCCGCCGCUACCGUCGGAAGCUGAAGGGCGGCCAGCUGCACGUGGGACUGACGUACGGAGAGCCGGAGGAGGAGGGCGUCGAACAGCUGGACCUAGCCGUCAGCGGGAAAAUCCUCAGGUACCGCGGACUGCAGACGGAGAAGUUCAGCGCCCUGCUGGCACCUCCGGAGGACCAGCCCGGCGCGCCCUCCGGCGCCGGCGGCACCGCCAUCGUCUCGCUAGCCUCCCAGACGGGCAGCUUCCACAUCACGCUGGUGACACACGGCCUCUGGGGACCGGAAGAGACGGGAGAUGGACCGCUCGUGGUGCAGAUGAGCGCCAGAAACUCGGGCAAAAUGUCCAUGGAUCGACAGAUCGACGCCAACAAGAUCACGGAGGAUGAGACCAUCAUCGAGGCCAAGACUUCCCUGCUGCCGGAAGAAAUGCGUCGACUGGCGCGCGCGCAGCUGCACCUCAAGGUGUUCUCACGCACCCACCCGGACCGCCAGCUAGAGGGUAUUAUCAUGCCCCGCAUCGGCUGUAACGUGUUCUCCGCGCUGCUGUCGGGCGUCAAAUCCAACGACAAAACACCGCCGGCGACCACCGCCUCGGGCCUGGCGACGUUGCGCCUGUGGAACGACGGCCGACUCGACUACGCCAUCCGACUGAUCGACGUGCGCUCGACGGUGCUGCGCAUCAGCAUCGAGACCGACCUGCGGCGACGCGCUGGUGGCGGCGCCCGGCCAGCUUACGAGGUCGACGACGUCCUGCCGCAGUACCUCAACGGCUGGGCGAACGGAACGCUGCGCCGCAUGGUGGCCAGGGACGUGGAGGCACUUCUUGACGAGGAUCUCUACAUCAACGUCGGCACAGAGCAGUACAGGAGCGAGCUGAGAGGCCGCGUCACUCAGCUGACCGUCAGUGAGGCACGUCAGUCGGACGCGCCCAUCAUGCUGACGUCGAGGAACUCUUCUUCGGCGGGCGUCGCCUGGAUGGCUGUGGACGACGACUGCGCACUGCACUACAAAGUUCAGGUGGCUGAUCGAACGCCUGGCAACCGACGCAUCGAGCUGGUCGAGUUUCCCGGCCGGAAACGUCGCCAGCGCGUCUUGGCAGAGUUUGGCGGAUCUCGCGCCGAGAAUCGCAUCAACAACCUGCCCAAGACCACCAUGAUGCGUAUGGAGAAAGGCCAAACCGUUGUCAAGGUGGUGCCGCUCAACGGAGAUGACGAGAUGAGCAGCGAACAUGCCAAGGUGUUCGUGCCAAAGUCGUGUCUGCCGACGCGGCGCAUCCGUCUGGACAACUACCACAUGGACGGUGACGAUGGCGAGGAGAACGAGAUCCAGCGCUCGUACGACUGCGAAUAUGAAAAUCAAAUAUACGAGGAAGGCACUCAGUGGGAGGCCUCUCACGAGAGCUGCAAGAUCUGCAGCUGCACCCACGGCAAGGUGUCCUGCGAGCGGAUCCUGUGUCCGACGCUCACCUGUCGGAACCAGCACACACCCAACGGCUCCUGCUGCCCCGUGUGCGACGGUGACGAGCCGGAGGAGGCCGAGGUGGCCAACGAUCCGACCGAGGGCUGCCUGCUGGCCAACCGGUUCCGAGCCGUCGGCUCCAUUUGGCACCCGUACGUGCCGCCGUUUGGCUUCAACAAGUGCGUCACCUGCACGUGUCAGCUGGGUUCCGCGCCGGGCGACUACCAGGUGUCGUGUUCGAAGCCGCCGUGUCCCGACCUGGACUGUCCGGGCCGCGAGUACAUGCCGUCGGGCGCCUGCUGCCGCGAGUGCCGGCCCGUCGCCAAGAUUGAACCCCGCAUCCUGGCCAGUACUUAUAGAGGCGCAAUGGGCGACGAGGCUCACGAAAUGAGCCAGGAAGAAAUCCUGCAGGCAGGAGGCUGCAGAAAGGGCACCAUGGUCUACCGCAACGGAGACACCUGGCACCCACGCAUCGCCACCAUUGGACUGAUGCCUUGCAUCACCUGCAGAUGUCGGGACGGCAGCAAGAUGUGCGGCCGAACACGCUGUCCAGAGCUCAACUGCCGCAACACCAAGGAGGUUCCGGGCCAGUGCUGCCCGGUCUGCGUCGAUCACAAUAAACCGACCGAGAAAAAGGCCACCAGGCGGCGCCGCAGUCAAGUGUGAACGCCGCAGAGGGCGCCACCAGCGGGCGCCAGUGUCGAGCGCAGACUGGAAAGUACAAAGCCGAAACAUUGCGUGCAAUGUGACGAGGCGCUGGACGCGGCUGCGUCACAAAUGACGUCACGGAAUGCUGCCGUGACGUCACGUGCCGACUGCGGGCCGGCUCCGGCAGCCAGGCGGUCGCGCCGGGUCAGGCGGCCACCGGUGCUGUAUUUAUUCACUGUAAUGUGUUGCCCUGGUGACACUACGCCACACGGCCGGCGCCAGGCGCGCAAACAUGCAUACCUGUACAUAACUAGUGCCAUAGCGGUAAGUGUCAUUAGCGUCUGGCGGAGUGUUGCGCGCGCGGCGGCGCUGCGGGCUGGCGCGGGGCCGCCUCGUCCGCUCGGCCGGCGGACGGGCGGGCCUCGUCCUCGUCUCGCCUCAGCGCAGCGGUGGCAAGAAAUGGAACUGUACGCUUAUUGUUGGGUGCCGUCCUGGCGGUGGCAGGCGCCGGUCAAUUAUUUUUGUAAACACGCGUGUCCGGCGUUUGUUGGAGCUUGUGCGAGAGAGACUAGCGGGCCCCGAGCCAACGUGAGAGUGAGAGGAGCGCCAUGAGUGAGUGAGAAUGGCGCCGCUGGACGCGAGGUAGAGUGACAGAGACGCUGAGCGAGAGUGAGCCGAACCAGGGAACGAACUCUGCUGAACUCGAGCGAGGCUGAAGGGACAAAGGCUCACUUCCCUACCCUCUUGUGAUCAGGAAACCACUUGUGACUGUGAGCGAGCUGACACGAGAAUCGAAGAACUGCAACCGUUACUCGUUUUGUCGCGGACUGAACUGAGAAUUUCGAGAGAAACAAUAGUGUGAGCAGCCGAUUCCGGCCGCCGGUAUCCGAGUUGUUGUGCGUAAGCCGAGGCUUCGCGGCCGAAGCGGGCGUCGUCGAGUCAGAUGUUGUUCUCAGGGUCGUCUGUUAUAAGUCUGACAGUGAGAUGGUCGGCGGUGUUUUGUGCAGCGUGCUGCUGCUAGCGAGCGCGCCGGGCACCGGCCAACUGCGCCAGUGCGGCACCACAUUAACCGAACAGGGCUGCGAGCGUGGCGGCAGCGCGACGGUCCGCUGCCUCCGGGGUGCGUCCGGGCGUCUCUCGUCCCACCGUCCCUUAGAGAGGUGCCGGGCGCCCUGCGGGACGUCUCUCCGGAGUGGUCGGCUCUCCGGGACGUCUCUCCGGAGUGGUCGGCUCUCCGGGCUGGCUCUCCGGCGGUCAGCUGGCCCUAUGGCCGGCACCAUGUGAUACGACCGACAAUAGGAGCGGGGGCAGAGCGCUGCACCGCCGCCGCCACGUAGUCGUGCCAUGUAAAAUACAGCCAGGCAGUCAUA
Molecule: unclassified non-coding RNA, 4344 nt
Filed under: Amphibalanus amphitrite
Lineage: Eukaryota; Metazoa; Arthropoda; Thecostraca; Balanomorpha; Balanidae
Description: dorsal-ventral patterning protein Sog-like, transcript variant X1
Source: RNAcentral